This 253-nucleotide ribosomal RNA is filed under the name uncultured bacterium. Its description in RNAcentral is "partial 16S ribosomal RNA". It matches the Rfam family "Bacterial small subunit ribosomal RNA", at positions 524 to 776 of the family's 1533-position model. The record is from RNAcentral.
UACGGGGGGAGCAAGCGUUGUUCGGAAUUACUGGGCGUAAAGGGCGCGUAGGCGGCCUGCUAAGUCGGACGUGAAAUCCCUCGGCUCAACCGGGGAACUGCGUCCGAUACUGGUGGGCUUGAAUCCGGGAGAGGGAUGUGGAAUUCCAGGUGUAGCGGUGAAAUGCGUAGAUAUCUGGAGGAACACCGGUGGCGAAGGCGGCAUCCUGGACCGGUAUUGACGCUGAUGCGCGAAAGCCAGGGGAGCAAACGGG